Molecule: small nuclear RNA, 107 nt
Filed under: Trichobilharzia regenti
Lineage: Eukaryota; Metazoa; Platyhelminthes; Trematoda; Strigeidida; Schistosomatidae
Source: RNAcentral
GAACUGGCUUUCGAGGUGCACAAACUUAAACCGGAACUAUACAAAUAAGAUUAGCAUGGGCCCUGAACAAGGAUAACAUACAAAGUCGUAGAGCUUCUAAUAUUUUU